CGCCGCUCAGAAACUACAAAGGAAGUUGACGGGGCCCGCACAAGCGGUGGAGUAUGUGGUUUAAUUCGAUGCAACGCGAAGAACCUUACCUGGUCUUGACAUCCCGGAGACCCUUAGGAAACUAGGGGGUGCUUCCAUCUGGAAGAAUCUGGAGACAGGUGCUGCAUGGCUGUCGUCAGCUCGUGUCGUGAGAUGCUGGGUUAAGUCCCGCAACGAGCGCAACCCUUGCCUUUAGUUGCCAGCAGUUCGGCUGGGCACUCUAAAGGGACUGCCGGUGUUAAACCGGAGGAAGGUGGGGAUGACGUCAAGUCCUCAUGGCCUUUAUGACCAGGGCUACACACGUACUACAAUGGCCGAUACAAAGGGCAGCGACACUGCGAGGUGAAGCCAAUCCCGUAAAAUCGGUCUCAGUCCGGAUUGGAGUCUGCAACUCGACUCCAUGAAGUUGGAAUCGCUAGUAAUCGUGGAUCAGCAUGCCACGGUGAAUACGUUCCCGGGCCUU
This 502-nucleotide ribosomal RNA is filed under the name uncultured Desulfobulbus sp. RNAcentral's name for it is "bacterial SSU rRNA". It matches the Rfam family "Bacterial small subunit ribosomal RNA", at positions 903 to 1382 of the family's 1533-position model. The record is from RNAcentral. Lineage: Bacteria; Pseudomonadati; Thermodesulfobacteriota; Desulfobulbia; Desulfobulbales; Desulfobulbaceae.